UUUCCGUAGGKGAACCUGSGGAAGGAUCAUUAUUGAAUACUCGAUGGGUUGUAGCUGGCUCCUCGGAGCAUGUGCACGCCUGUCUUGACUCUAUUCAUCCACCUGUGCACCUAUUGUAGUCUCAUUUGCUAUGUCUUUAUUCACAAACCAUGUAGUAUGUUGCAGAAUGUAUUCAAUGGGCCAUCGUGCCUAUAAAACCUUAUACAACUUUCAGCAACGGAUCUCUUGGCUCUCGCAUCGAUGAAGAACGCAGCGAAAUGCGAUAAGUAAUGUGAAUUGCAGAAUUCAGUGAAUCAUCGAAUCUUUGAACGCACCUUGCGCUCCUUGGUAUUCCGAGGAGCAUGCCUGUUUGAGAGUCAGUAAAUUCUCAACCCCACCAGCUUUUGUGAGUUGGCACUUGGGGAUUGGAUGUGGAGGUUCUGCCGGCCGGUCGGCUCCUCUGAAAUGUAUUAGCGGAACCGUUUGCGAUCCGUCACAGGUGUGAUAAUUAUCUACGCCAGUGGGUUGCUCUCUGUCUGUUCAGCUUCCAACCGUCCUCCGGGACAAACAUAACUGAACCUUUGACCUCAAAUCAGGUAGG
RNAcentral lists this ribosomal RNA (580 nucleotides) under Cyphomyrmex muelleri fungal symbiont NJM-2012. RNAcentral describes it as "eukaryotic LSU rRNA". The stretch from base 206 to 359 matches the Rfam family "5.8S ribosomal RNA". The record is from RNAcentral. Lineage: Eukaryota; Fungi; Basidiomycota; Agaricomycetes; Agaricales; Agaricaceae.